AGACACCUGUUGCAUGUGCUCAUGCGGAACAUAAUCACCUGUGCCAUUGAGUUAGUGUGUGUGUGAAUUAUGCAUGUGUGUGCAUGUGUGUGUGUGGAAUAUGUGUGAGUAAGUGGACAGUGUGUGUGCUGGUGCAGGGGGUUCAGACUGGCAUUCAGAUGAGCACAAUACAAGAUAUUUAAUGCUCAAUGAUGAAUUGAUUAGAGAAAAAGGGAGUGUGUUUAACAGUAGAGAGUGUAGUAGAUGAUAGUAGUAGAUGAUAGCGGUAGGUGAUAGUGGUAGGUGAUAGUAGUAGGUGAUAGUAGUAGGUGAUAGUAGUAGGUGAUAGUAGUAGGCGAUAGUGGUAGGUGAUAGUAGUAGGUGAGAGUAGUAGGUGAUAGUAGUAGGUGAUAGUAGUAGCUUAUGUUAGUAGAUGAUAGUAGUAGAUGAUAGUAGUAGGUGAUGGUAGUAGAUGAUAGUAGUAGGUGAUGGUAGUAGAUGAUAGUAGUAGAUGACAGUAGUAGAUGAUAGUAGUAGGUGAUUGUAGUAGGUGAUAGCAGUAGAUUAUAGUAGUAGAGGAUAGUAGUAGUCGACAGUAGUUGGUGAUAGUAGUAGAUGAUAGUUGUAGGUGAUAGUGUUAGGUGAUUGUAGUAGAUGACAGUUGUAGAUGACAGUAGUAGAUGACAGUAGUAGAUGAUAGUAGUAGGUGAUAGUAGUAGGUGAUAGUAGUAGAUGAUAGUAUUAGGUGAUGGUAGUAGGUCAUGGUGGUAGAUGAUAGUGGUAGAUGAUAGUAGUAGGUGAUAUUGGUAGAUGAUAGUUGUAGGUGAAAGUAGUAGGUGAUAGUAGUAGGUGAGAGUAGUAGAUGAUAGUAGCAGAUGAUAGUAGUUGGUGAUAGUAGUAGAUGAAAGUAGUAGAUGAUAGUAGUAGAUGAUAUUAGCAGGUGGAAUUAGUAUUUGAUAGGAGUAGGUGAUAGUAGUAUUUGAUAGUAGCAAGUGAUUGUAGUAGGUGAUACUUGUAGGUGAUAGUAGUAGUUGAUAGUAGUAGGUGAUAGUAGUAGGUAAUAGUAGUAGGUGAAAAUAGUAGGUGAUAGUAGUAGGUGAUAGUAGCAGAUGAUAGUAGUAGGUGAUAGUAGUAGAUAAUAGUAGUAGAUGAUAUUUGUAGGUGAUAGUAACAGGUGAUAGUAGUAGGUGAUUGUUAUAGCAGUCAGUAGUAGGUGAUAGUAUUAGAUGAUAAUAGUAGAUGAUAGUAGUAGGUGAUAGUUGUAGCUUUCAGUAGUAGGUGAUAGUAGUAGAUGAUAGUAGUAGAUGAAAGUAGUAGGUGAUUGUAGUUGGUAAUAGAAUAGUAGGUGAUAGUAGUAGGUGAUAACAAUAUAUGAUAGUAGUAGGUGAUAGUAGUUUGUGAUAGUAAUAGAUGAAAGUAGUAGGUGAUAGUAGUUGAUGAUAGUAGUAGAUUCUAGUUGUAGUUGAAAAUAGUAAGUGAUAGUAGUAGAUGAUAGCAGUAGGUGAUAGUAGUUUGUGAUAGUAAUAGAUGAAAGUAGUAGGUGAUAGUAGUUGAUGAUAGUAGUAUAUGAUAGUAGUAGGUGAGAGUAGUAGAUGACAGUAGAAGGUGACAGUAGUAAAUUAUAGUAGUAGAUGAUAGCAGUAGGCUAUAGUAGUAGGCGAUAGUUAUAGGUGAAAGUUGUAGAUGAUUGUAGUAGGUGAUAGUAGCAGGUGAUAGUAGUAGGUGAUAGUUGUAGCUUUCAGUAGUAGGUGAUAGUAGUAGAUGAUAGUAGUAGAUGAUAGUAGUAGGUGAUAGUUGUAGUGAAAGUAGUAGGGGAUAGUAGUAGGUGAUAGUUGUAGGUGAUAGUUGUAGUGAAAGUAGUAGGGGAUAGUAGUAGGUGAUAGUAGUAGGUAAUAGUAAUAGAUGAUAGUUGUAGGUGAUAGUUGUAGUGAAAGUAGUAGGGGAUAGUAGUAGGUGAUAGUAGUAGGUAAUAGUAAUAGAUGAUAGUUGUAGGUGAAAAUAGUAGUUGAUAGUAGUAGGUGAUUAUAGUAUAUGAUAGUAGUAGGUGAUAGUAGUAGGUGAUAGUAGUUUGUGAUAGUAAUAGAUGAAUGUAGUAGGUGAUAGUAGUAGAUGAUAGUAGUAUAUGAUGGUAGUAGGUGAUAGUAGUAGAUGACAGUAGUAGAUGACAGUAGUAGAUGAUAGUAGUAGGUGAUAGUAGUAGAUGACAGUAGUAGAUGAAAGUAGUAGAUGAUAGUAGUAGGUGAUAGUAGUAGGUGAUAGUAGUAGGUGAUUGUAGUAGAUUAUGGUAGUAGAUGAUAGUAGUAGAUGACAGUAGUAGGUGAUAGUAGUAGGUGAUUGUAGUAGAUUAUGGUAGUAGAUGAUAGUAGUAGGUGAUAGUAGUAGGUGAUGGUAGUAGAUGAUAGUUGUAGGUGAUAAUAGUAGGUGAUAGUAGUAGGUGAUAGUAGUGGGUGAUAGUAGUGGGUGAUAGUAGUGGGUGAUUGUAGUAGGUGGUAUGAGUAGAUGAUACUAGUAGAUGAUAGUAGUAGGUGAUAGUAGUAGAUGAUAGUAGUAGAUGACAGUAGUAGAUGACAGUUGUAGAUGAAAGUAGUAGAUGAUAGUAGUAGGUUAUAGUAGUAGGUGAUAGUAGUAGGUUAUAGUAGUAGGUGAUAGUAGUAGGUGAUAGUAGUAGAUGAUAGUAGUAGAUGACAGUAGUAGAUGAAAGUAGUAGAUGAUAGUAGUAGGUGAUGGUAGUAGAUGAUAGUAGCAGAUGAUGGUAGUAGAUGAUAAGGAGAGAGGAGCUAUUAUUGAGAUAAAGACAGAAGGUUGUAGGAAAGAAGAGAAAGUGAAGAGGUGUAGGAGGAGAGGCAGAGUGUGGCUCUGUCAUGGUGAAUAUGAG
Molecule: long non-coding RNA, 2854 nt
Filed under: Salmo salar (Atlantic salmon)
Lineage: Eukaryota; Metazoa; Chordata; Actinopteri; Salmoniformes; Salmonidae
Description: lncRNA (ENSSSAG00000094607.1)
Source: RNAcentral